CUGCGAGUAAGGCCCGUCCGAGGCUGUGAUGCCUGCGGCUGCGGGAUGGGAGCAAUAGGACGGGGUUCGCAC
Molecule: non-coding RNA, 72 nt
Filed under: unclassified sequences
Description: DUF3800-X RNA
Rfam family: DUF3800-X RNA
Source: Rfam by way of RNAcentral